GGUGAAGGCUUGACCUCAAAUCAGGUAGGACUACCCGCUGAACUUAAGCAUAUCAUAGCCGGAAG
Molecule: ribosomal RNA, 65 nt
Filed under: Pisolithus albus
Lineage: Eukaryota; Fungi; Basidiomycota; Agaricomycetes; Boletales; Pisolithaceae
Description: partial 28S ribosomal RNA
Source: RNAcentral